Molecule: long non-coding RNA, 143 nt
Organism: Sapajus apella (tufted capuchin)
Lineage: Eukaryota; Metazoa; Chordata; Mammalia; Primates; Cebidae
Exons: 3
Source: RefSeq, a predicted model, not a curated record
AGGGCUGGGAGUAAAUAAGUGUCACAAGAUCAGAUGGUUUAAUAAAGGGGAGCUCCCCUGCACACACCCUCUUGCCUGCCACCACGUAAGACAUGCCUUUGCUCCUCCUUCGCUUUCUGCCAUCAUUGUGAGACCUCCCCAGC